CAAGGCAAUGAUGCGUAGCCGAACUGAGAGGUUGAUCGGCCACAUUGGGACUGAGACACGGCCCAAACUCCUACGGGAGGCAGCAGUAGGGAAUCUUCCACAAUGGGCGAAAGCCUGAUGGAGCAACGCCGCGUGGGUGAAGAAGGUCUUCGGAUCGUAAAACCCUGUUGUUAGAGAAGAAAGUGCGUGAGAGUAACUGUUCACGUUUCGACGGUAUCUAACCAGAAAGCCACGGCUAACUACGUGCCAGCAGCCGCGGUAAUACGUAGGUGGCAAGCGUUAUCCGGAUUUAUUGGGCGUAAAGGGAACGCAGGCGGUCUUUUAAGUCUGAUGUGAAAGCCUUCGGCUUAACCGGAGUAGUGCAUUGGAAACUGGGAGACUUGAGUGCAGAAGAGGAGAGUGGAACUCCAUGUGUAGCGGUGAAAUGCGUAGAUAUAUGGAAGAACACCAGUGGCGAAAGCGGCUCUCUGGUCUGUAACUGACGCUGAGGUUCGAAAGCGUGGGUAGCAAACAGGAUUAGAUACCCUGGUAGUCCACGCCGUAAACGAUGAAUGCUAAGUGUUGGAGGGUUUCCGCCCUUCA
Molecule: ribosomal RNA, 582 nt
Filed under: uncultured bacterium
Lineage: Bacteria
Description: bacterial SSU rRNA
Rfam family: Bacterial small subunit ribosomal RNA
Source: RNAcentral